This 256-nucleotide ribosomal RNA is filed under the name uncultured bacterium. RNAcentral's name for it is "partial 16S ribosomal RNA". It matches the Rfam family "Bacterial small subunit ribosomal RNA", at positions 524 to 776 of the family's 1533-position model. The record is from RNAcentral.
UACGUAGGGGGCAAGCGUUGUCCGGAUUUAUUGGGCGUAAAGAGCGUGUAGGCGGCCUGAAAGGUCAGCUGUGAAAACUCGAGGCUCAACCUCGAGACGUCGGUUGAAACCAUCUGGCUAGAGUCCGGAAGAGGAGUGUGGAAUUCCCGGUGUAGCGGUGAAAUGCGCAGAUAUCAGGAGGAACACCGAUGGCGAAGGCAGGUCUCUGGGCCGAUACUGACGCUGGAGGAAGCGAAAGGCGUGGGGAGCGAACAGG